UUGGGUUCAAGAAGCCAGCAAUUGAGGAUCCUGUGAGGACAAACAAAAUCCCAAGGCAAAUCCCAGAGCAAGCUUGGUAUAUGAACCCAACUUUCUCUAUUCUGAUCGGAGGAAUACUUCCUUUCGGAGCUGUUUUCAUCGAGCUGUUCUUCAUUCUCACCUCAAUCUGGCUGAACCAGUUCUACUACAUCUUUGGUUUCCUGUUCUUGGUAUUCAUUAUCCUCCUAAUCACUUGUGCUGAAAUAACCAUUGUGCUUUGCUACUUCCAAUUAUGCAGUGAAGAUUAUCUGUGGUGGUGGAGAUCAUAUCUCACAUCCGGCUCCUCGGCUUUGUACCUCUUCCUCUACGCUACAUUCUAUUUCUUCACAAAGCUUGAGAUCACUAAGCUGGUUUCGGGGCUCCUAUACUUUGGGUACAUGCUAAUUGCUUCGUAUGCAUUUUUUGUGCUAACGGGCAGCAUCGGAUUUUAUGCUUGCUUUUGGUUCACGAGACUUAUCUACUCAUCUGUCAAGAUCGAUUAGUGUGUAAAAGGGGAUAUGCUUUUUAGGUUAAGAUAUAGUCAUGCUUUAAGAUGUAUACGUUAAUUCUCAUUUUUGAACUGAGUUGUCAUUGUUGUAGUUGAUUGAGAAAAUACUUGUUAAGAGGAGCCUGAAAAACACUAGGUGAAUUUGAUGAUUUUGUAAUAAUAUCGUAGCCUUUUUAUUCCUUUAUUUAUAGAAAACGCAAAAUACUUAUGCUGAUGGUUUUUAUUACUUGGUGGAACACAACUUGACCUGCCGAAUGCUGAAAUUCUUUUAUAACGAAAGGGAUGGAUCAUGUCCGAACUCUGGUUGAAUCGGUCAAGAAUUUUUUUCCGAUCCGAUUUAUGUUUUUUUUACUAGGUAAGUUAUUAAGAACUCCAAAAAAAUAUUGAAGAUUUAUAGUCAGCUUCAUAGUUUGUUUAAUCCUUUUUUUUUGAACUUGAUUUAAUCAAUUUAUGCUGGUUAACAAAUUAAUCAAAUAUAUAUUUUUUAUAUUUCUGACGGACAAACCGAUUUAUCUGAUUUUGACAAUUAUGAAGCUUAUUUUAAGUUUAAUAGCUGUAAGCUAUAACUAUAUCUGCAUUGUUUUGUGUAAAUAUUUGCGCUAAUUAUUAUUUGGUUACAUAAUUUUUUACGACUUAGAUGAUAUAUUUGUUUAACAAAGAAAAUUGUAUAACAUUAGUAUAUUAUUUUGUUACACUAAUUAUUAUUGAUUUUGUAAUGUUAGUCUAUCACAGAUUAUAGAAUAAAUUACCAAUUUACAAAAUUUUUUAGAAUUUGCAUAAUAUUUUUGAGUAAUAACACAACUCUUACGCCACAUAUUACCUUACUAUAAUAAUUAUUACAGAUUUUAUAAUGUUUAGUAUAAUAUGAAUUAUAGAAUAUAUAUUAUCAAAUUACAAAAUUUAUUAGUACUUACUAAAUUUUUGGAGUAAUAACAAAAACUUCAUAAGGUUUUUGUGUGAUUAUACAAAAUAUUAUCCUAUUACAUUAAUUAUUAUAGAUAUUAUAGUGUCUUAUGUAACACAUGAGUUAGAUAUUCCUCAUAGUCACUCUAAAAUAAGAUUUGUUCUGUUUUGAUCAUUUCAAUUUUUUUUGUCAAUUUAGUCACUCUAAAUAAUAUAAUUGUGUGAAUUAGUCAUUCUGUUAAAAUUUUCGUUUUCUUUUAACGGAUUAUUGAUAUGAUACAUUAGCACAUUUAGUGACUGGCACGUAUUUUUUUGUUGACUUCUGAUUAAAGUUUAGCAACCUCCCUAUAAUUAGUCAAAAGUCAAUAAAAAAUGCCACAUGUCAGUCACUCAGUGGGCUAAUGUGCCACAUUGGCAAUCCAUCAAAAGAAAAACGAAAAUUUUGACGGCAGUGACUAAUUCGCACAAUUAUCUUAUUUAUAGUGAUUAAAUUGAGAAAAAAAAAUAGAGUGAUCAAAAUAAGACAGGCCCUAUUUUAGAGUGACCUCGGGUGUCAUUUACCCAUUACAUAAUAUAUUACCCAGUUACAAAAAUUCUUAGAACAAUCAUAGUAUUUAAUUAAUUUCUUAGAGGGAUCUGUUAGGUACUUUUACCUUUAUAAAAUCAGUAGAAUGAGAGUAGACCUAUUUAUGGGUUGAGUUACUCAUCUAGACUCGAAGGUCCGCCUGAAAUUUGAGAGGGUUUAUGUAAAAAUAUUAGACCCAAUAAAUGGGUUUAGGUAAAAAAUUAGGCUCGUUUAAAAAAAAGUUAGAGCUUGAACUUGAACAUUUAAGGCCCGAGCUUGGCCCGACCCUGACUCAACCCAUUUUUAAGUUUAUAAUACUUUAUAUUAUGUUGUUUUUAUAUAUUAUGUAUUUUAUAACACAUUAAAAAAAUAAACCCAUACUAAAUAUAUAAUACUACUCUAAUGUAAAUAUUAAAAUAAUAUAAUAAAAAUAUUUGUUUAAAAUUUUUUAUAAAUAAUAUGGGUAGGUUUAAAAUGAGUUUGGGUUUGGGUAAAAUUUUAGACCCACAUUUCAGGUUGGGCUAGAUUUGAACAAAUAUAAAAUAUGUUAAUAUCAUACUUAAGCCCGACUCGAAUCCGAUCCAACUCGGCCAUGAUGAGAUGUUAGAGGGAGUUGUUUUCUGAGGAAAAAUCCGAACCCGCUUACAAACCCGGAAAUGAAAUCUCAGAGAAAAAACAAAAAAAGAAUGGGCCUAAAUAGAUCAGUCCAAUCCAAAAAGACAUCAAUAAUAAUCCACAAGACCAUGACCAUGACCAUGACCGUGACCGACACUCGAAUACGAAUUGACUGGCCACCGCCAGCCACCACACGGUAGAUAAGAAAAAUCAAAUUCCACGGCAGAUUUUAAAAAAGAUUAAAAAACAACAUAUAAGCUCUUUUCUUUUAUCAGAUCUCAUUUCCCCCUCCUCUCCCUUCUCAAAGAGAGAGUUUCCUUCUCCAACCCCGUCAAAAUGGAAUCUGGAUCCAGAUCUAUGAACCGAUUAACUGCCACCAUCAUUUGGCCGAUUCUCUUCCUCUUCAUGAUCCAUGCCGCUCACUGCUUCUACCUCCCCGGUGUUUCCCCCGAGGACUUCCAGAAGGUCGCCUUUCCCUUUCCCUUUCUCUUCUAUUCUUUAUUUAUUGAUCUGGUUUUUAUUUUGUAUCUUCACUUUGAACUCUGUUUGUUUUUGAUAGAAUAAUAAGAUACGUAUAUGAUCUCUACGAGAAGGAAAAUUAAUGAAUUUCUUUGUAUUCGUGUUGGAAGUGGAAAACCCGUCUCAGAUUCAGCUAGGUUUUCUUUUAAACAAGAAAUUAGAACAAUUUAACUUCAUUUCACUUUAUGAUUUUCGUUUUCCGUUUUGAUUCUUUUAUUUCAAAACGUUUAGUGUCCAUACUUUUAGCUAGUUUUUAAGAUUUUCUUCCGGUCUUGCAUUUAUCCAUGGCAUUUGCGAUUUUAUUUUAUGUUAAUCAUGUUCUGUAAUUAUUGCUUAAGGAAAGAGAUUCAAUUUACAUAAUGUAUUAAUGGAAGCACCAAAGCGUGCUUGAUCUUUAUGGUGAUUAGUUACAUUGCGUACCUGAUCGAUAAUGACUUUGAUUAAAACACUUUAAGUUCUCACUACAUGCUGUGAUAGUUGGGAGUGUUCAUUAAAGAAUCAUUUUGGUCCUCUUUAGUUUUGAUUCUUUUGUUAGGGGUUUGCAGGGAGAUCCUUUGAAGGUGAAAGUGAACAAAUUGACAUCUAUAAAGACUCAACUUCCUUACUCGUACUAUUCGCUUCCUUUUUGUCCACCUAAAAAGAUUGUUGACAGUGCGGAGAAUCUUGGGGAAGUGCUUCGUGGUGACCGAAUUGAAAACUCUCCUUAUGUGGUCAGUUAUCAGUAUUUCUGAUGAUUUAGUGUUGAUUGUUUAUUCUAUGGCCAUUAACUUGUUCUUAUUGACUCCAAUUAAUGUAGUUUAAAAUGCGAGAGCCACAUAUGUGUACUGUUCUUUGCCGCAUUACACUUGAUGCCAAAACUGCAAAGCAAUUUAAGGAGAAGAUUGAUGAUGAAUAUCGAGUCAAUAUGUAUGCCAUUUGUUUAUUCGGACAUGGAAUUCAUCUUUCAGUCUUUUUAUAGCUGUUGCCUAGGAUCUCUGUCUAAUUAAUUUGUGGUUCAAUUGACAGGAUACUGGAUAACCUUCCCCUUGUUGUCCCCGUUAGAAGAUUAGAUCAGGAUUCUUCUACUGUUUAUCAGCUUGGCUACCAUGUUGGGCUCAAAGGCCAAUAUAGUGGGGUAAACAUAAUAUCUAUUACAAGUAUUAAAAUUUCCUUUGUUUGUGGAUGUAAUUAGCUACUAUAUCUGUGUUUGCUUAUGUUUUCUGGUUAUAUGCAGAGCAAGGAAGAGAAAUAUUUCAUUCACAACCAUUUAGCAUUUACUGUCAAAUAUCAUAGGGAUCCGCAAACUGACUCUGCUAGAAUUGUGGGUUUUGAGGUUAAACCAUACAGGUUAGCUCCUUUGAGUCUAGCAUAUUCUAAUAAUUUUAAUUCUAGGUUUCUGUGACUGAGAUUGUUGUAUUGUGUUUUGAUACAUUUUCUUUAUAUACUAAAACAAUGCAGUAUUAAACAUGAAUAUGAGGGGAAAUGGAAUGAAAAAAGUCGUUUAACAACAUGCGACCCCCAUAAUAAACGCACAGUUGUUAAUUCUAACACUCCUCAAGAAGUUGAAGCAAAAAAGGAGAUAAUAUUCACCUAUGAUGUUGAAUACCAGGUGAGUUCUUCAACUUCAAAUAAUUUUCUAGGGUUGACAAUUGCAAUGUUAAAUUUUUCCAAUGGCAACCUUGAGCUGAACCCUUAAAGGUUGUAUUCCUUUGUGUUGAAGUAGAUUCUGUUGAUAUUAUUACUUGGAAAAAAUUCUCCAUUGUAUCACAUUUUCUUGAAUUAAGUUUCUGACAUAUAAAUCUAUGAGGUGCUAGUAUUCUUAAAUUUUCCUGUGCGACUUUCAGGAGAGUGAUGUGAAGUGGGCAUCUAGGUGGGAUGCAUAUCUUUUAAUGAAUGAUGACCAAAUACACUGGUUCUCAAUUGUCAAUUCUUUGAUGAUUGUUCUCUUCCUUUCGGGAAUGGUAGCAAUGAUCAUGCUAAGGACACUAUACCGUGACAUUUCUAGGUAUAACGAACUUGAGACUCAGGAAGAAGCCCAAGAAGAGACAGGAUGGAAGCUUGUCCAUGGGGAUGUUUUCAGGCCUCCAUCUAAUUCUGAUCUACUCUGUGUCUAUGUUGGCACCGGUGUUCAAUUUUUGGGCAUGGUACUUGUUACCAUGAUCUUUGCUGUUUUUGGAUUUCUUUCCCCUUCAAACCGAGGUGGUCUGAUGACAGCUAUGCUUUUACUUUGGGUCUUCAUGGGCAUUUUUGCUGGCUAUGCUUCUGCCCGUCUGUACAAAAUGUUUAAAGGAGCAGAAUGGAAGAAAUUAGCUUUUAGGACUGCGUGCAUGUUCCCAGGCAUUGUCUUUGCCAUCUUCUUUGUCUUAAAUGCAAUUAUAUGGGGCCAGAAGUCUUCUGGGGCCGUGCCAUUUGGAACAAUGUUUGCUCUGGUCCUCAUGUGGUUUGGAAUUUCAGUUCCACUUGUUUUUGUGGGUGGUUACGUUGGGUUCAAGAAGCCAGCAAUUGAGGAUCCUGUGAAGACGAACAAAAUCCCAAGGCAAAUUCCAGAGCAAGCUUGGUAUAUGAACCCGACUUUUUCUAUUCUGAUCGGAGGAAUACUUCCAUUCGGAGCUGUUUUCAUCGAGCUGUUCUUCAUUCUCACCUCAAUCUGGCUGAACCAGUUCUACUACAUCUUUGGUUUCCUGUUCUUGGUAUUCAUUAUCCUCCUUAUCACUUGUGCUGAAAUAACCAUUGUGCUUUGCUACUUCCAAUUAUGCAGUGAAGAUUAUCUGUGGUGGUGGAGAUCAUAUCUCACAUCCGGCUCCUCGGCUUUGUACCUCUUCCUCUACGCUACAUUCUAUUUCUUCACAAAGCUUGAGAUCACUAAGCUGGUUUCGGGGCUCCUAUACUUUGGGUACAUGCUAAUCGCUUCAUAUGCAUUUUUUGUGCUAACGGGCACCAUCGGAUUUUAUGCGUGCUUUUGGUUCACAAGACUUAUCUACUCAUCUGUCAAGAUUGAUUAGUGUGUAAAACCGGGAUCUGCUUGGUGUUC
This 6138-nucleotide long non-coding RNA is filed under the name Gossypium raimondii (Peruvian cotton). Its description in RNAcentral is "long non-coding RNA (GRAI_LNC008755)". The record is from RNAcentral. Lineage: Eukaryota; Viridiplantae; Streptophyta; Magnoliopsida; Malvales; Malvaceae.